GAAUCUGUCCGUUGGUCGGGCUUCACUGUCCGUACUGGUGUGGUGGGUUCUUACCUUCUGAAUAACCAGCAUGCCAUUCACUUGGUGCGCUGGGGAAGCAGGACUAUUACCUUGAAAAAAUUAGAGUGCUCAAAGCAGGCUAGUGCCUGAAUACAUUAGCAUGGAAUAAUAAAAUAGGACGGCAUGGUUCUAUUUUGUUGGUUUCUAGGAUUGACGUA
RNAcentral lists this ribosomal RNA (218 nucleotides) under uncultured fungus. RNAcentral describes it as "partial small subunit ribosomal RNA". The stretch from base 48 to 218 matches the Rfam family "Eukaryotic small subunit ribosomal RNA", at positions 693 to 864 of the family's 1831-position model. The record is from RNAcentral. Lineage: Eukaryota; Fungi.